This 222-nucleotide long non-coding RNA is filed under the name Elaeis guineensis (African oil palm). RNAcentral describes it as "long non-coding RNA (EGUI_LNC051280)". The record is from RNAcentral. Lineage: Eukaryota; Viridiplantae; Streptophyta; Magnoliopsida; Arecales; Arecaceae.
UGUGUGAUUUUGAAUUGUGGUCCAUGGUGGAUCAUGGGAGGAGAUGCGAUUCAUGCAUCUGUCGUGGAUCACCCUGGUCCAAGGGGCAAAAAUUAUGGUCCAUGGCUCCUUUCUUCACGAUUCGAUGGCUGGGAGCUGAUCCAGAUGGUGUUUUGCAUGAUCGAGCAAUUUAGAGAGCUCGCGGGCAUGAUCAGAUAGUGUAUGGUUUUCUAGACUUUGAUC